GUUUUGCAUGCAGACGUUGCUGCAUCUGCAUCUGAUGUUGAGAAGACACUCAAUCUGCCUGCCAGUCCUCGUCUGAUUUUGCUGGGUAUGGCAGAGCCGGCAAAUGCUGUACGGUAGAUGAUAAGCCUAGAGGGCUGUGUUAUUUGUGAGUGUGUCCAGUCAACAUUUUUGACUGCAUUUGCAACAGUGUUUGCUGUGUACUACAUCUUCAACCUGCAGUAUCAAGAGGAGGCUUGUUGCACAUUAGAA
Sinocyclocheilus rhinocerous is the source of this 249-nucleotide long non-coding RNA. RefSeq lists it as uncharacterized. The record is from RefSeq and is a predicted model, not a curated record. The transcript is spliced from 3 exons. Lineage: Eukaryota; Metazoa; Chordata; Actinopteri; Cypriniformes; Cyprinidae.